This 245-nucleotide long non-coding RNA is filed under the name Carica papaya (papaya). RNAcentral describes it as "long non-coding RNA (CPAP_LNC009991)". Lineage: Eukaryota; Viridiplantae; Streptophyta; Magnoliopsida; Brassicales; Caricaceae. The record is from RNAcentral.
CGGAUUCCUCUUGAAACGUUACCAUUAACUGUCCUCACUGUGCUUCUCCGAUCCCAUUCAAUGUUGGAUUCGGGAACUUUCAAUCCUAUGCGGCUGCUCUCCGAUCUGUUGGGGGAAGGAGUUUUCGGGUAGGACAGAUGAUUCCGAAUAUGAAAACGGGCGGCUCUGACCUGGCUACUCACACUCGUAGAAAAGAGGGGCAGAAAAGGAAUUUCAGACAUAAUAUUAGUGUUAGUAAUGAUAGG